UUUCUUUCUUGCGCUAAAACUAUCCAACGCACACCCUAGCCCUAAGCGCCCAUUGUCUCCCUUUUUAACGUGUAAAAAAAUCAGAUAUAGAUCUGAUUUUUACCGUGGGGGUUUCUCAGGUCUUCUCAAUGCUAAGAAAAAAAAAAAGGCCACCCCAAAGCCCUUUUACACGCCAAAAGAUUAGGAGUUUGACUCCUAUCUAAAGACCUAUUCCACGCUAUUUAAGAUGGGCUCUUAGUCGUGAGUUUUAGAUGGCUUUUUAAUGUGAGAUGGCUGCUGGUUAGCUGUUGUUUUGAUGCAGAAAAUCAGAGGUCCAUGGUGUGGGAAAAAGAGUGAAAACGUUCCUCUUCUUGGUGCAAGAAAAGAUCAGGAAGAAGGUCUUCAUGAGCUGAAGAAAGGAAGUUCUUUCUUAUGUGCUGAUUUUUGGAGAAGAAAGGUUCCUCUUGUAGGCACAAAAAGGGUAGAGAGAAAGGUUCUCUCAUGCAUGGAAGAAAAGAGAAAAAAGAGUUCUUCUCUAUAUCUCUAGCGUAAAGAUCAUAUGCGUGGUUCUAAGAAGAAAAGGAGAAGGAUCUCCUUGUUCUUCUUCAUCUUCCUCUUUAUCCUCUUGAUCUUCUUCUCCUCUAAGAGUGUCUUGAGAGAAAAGAAGAGUUCUCCUCAACCGUCAAGAUGCGAUCUCUGCAAAAGAGCUAGCACCCCAGUGAGAUCAAAAGCUUCUGAUCAGAUCAAAGCUUUGUAUCAAGGUAUGCUGAACCGGUACCGCCAACCAUAUCGGCCGGCCAGCGGUAUGGUUUGGUACGAUUUCAUACCGUACCGAACCGACGAAGACAAACAGACCCGAAUUGGAAGAAGAAAAAGAGAGAGAAAUAGAAAGAGAGGAGGGAGAAAGAAAAAGAGGGAGGGGAAGGAGCCGGCAGGGCCGUCGGACGGCCUUUGGCUGGCCACCAGAGGGCGCAGUCCACGCGCGCGGCGCCGCGGGCGUGAAACAGAGGUGUCGCCCCUGUUUCGCGAGUUUUUUAAAAAAUAUAGUUUUAAGUGAAGCCGGCAAAUAGUUUACCGGCUUCACGAUUUUUGUCUUUUUUUUUUUUAAAAUCCCUUAAGUCGGCAACUGGGUUGCCGACUUUAUGAGUUUAAAACCAAAAAAAAAAUUAAAAUAGAUGACCGCCUGUUUUGAAAAGAAAAGGGCGAAGCCGCGGAGGGGCUCCGCCCACUCGACCACCUUCAGGCCAUCGGCGUUGGCUUGCCGGCCACCGAGGGCCUCGCGAUGGAGGCACCAUCCAUCCGGUAGGUCCCUCUCCCCUUCGAGCAUUCUCUCUCUCUUUCUCACUAUCUUGAAAGUCCUAUCGGACGAUACGGAAUUCGAAAGCCCUCCGACGGCCACAGCCGGCCACCGUCGACCUCCGACGGCUCCCACCUCCCUCCCUCUCCUCCUCUCUUUCUCACUUUCUUUUUUUUUUCUGUACCAUUGGUGUACCAAAUUUAUCGAUCGAAUCGUGUCAGUUCCCCACUGGUCCAGUACGAUACGAGGUGUACCGACUAGUUCGGCACAGUAUGGGAAACCUUGCUUUGUGUGGAUAUCCGUAGAUGUCGGAUGCUUGUGCGGCUUCAAGAGACCUUCUGAAGAUAUCCAAGAUCAUCAGAUUGUAGAUCAGCCCGUGCAAAGAUUCAGAUUUUAAAAAAAAGAAAAGCGAAACAGAUACGCGAUCCGAUCGCAUAUUUAUUUUUCAGAUUUAAAAUCAGAUUGUGUUAUUUUCUGCAUAUGAACUAAAUCCUUAGGUGCCUUCAUAUGAUGAAUGCAUGUUAUUCAUUGAAAAGAUUUUAAUCUUAUUAUUCCGCUGCAUUUUGAUUUUGAAAAUAUUUUAAAACACACAUGCACGAGCACCUUAGAAAUCUCAAUAGUGGUAGCAGAGCCACGGAUUCAUAUGUAUGAAAAUAACAUGCAUGAUUUGAAAAAGAUUUUUAAAAUACGAUUUUAAUCAAUACAUGAUAUGUAUACCUAUUUAAUUUAGAUCUGAAAAGAAUUUUGAGAUCUAAUUUUGAUUCAUAUAUAUGAUAUAUGAAAGCAUGCUUAGGUUUGAAAUUAGUUUGUAUGAUCUAAAUUUUGUUCAUAUAUGUGAUAUGUAAUUGCAUAUUUAGAUCUGAAAUUAAUUUUUAUGAUCUGAAUUUAUUCAUAUAUGUGAUAUAUGAUUGCAUGCACGAUCUGAAAAUUAUUUUAAGAUCAAAAACUUACUUUUCAUGCAAAAUCUGAAAAUUUAGAUUUAAUAUCUGAAAUUUGUGUUUGUGCAUGAGGGAUUGGUCAGGGUAGAUCAAAUUAGAUCAUGUAAUUGGAUUACACCUAGAAUUUUUGAUUUGAUCAUAAUGGGUCUAAAUCGAUUUAGCGGUUGAUCAAAUUGAGUUAAAUGUUGAUUAGGAUUAGGUCAAUAAAGCUUAAGAUUAUACAAUUAAUAUUGAUUGAAUCGAUUGACACCCAUAUGUAGAUCAAUUUACCUAAGGACCUAAUUCGACUUUGUGGUUCGAGCCUGAUUCACCUAUGCUAAUCUAUUUGGACCAAUUGAUCAAUUGGUGUCUAAGACAAGGACUUGAGAGGUGGUUACUUAAUUAGGACCCAUGAUCCCAUCAAAGGGGAGUCUCCCACCGAUCUUCGCUUAUCUGACUAAUUUGAAAGGUUGAGUCUUGAAUAUGGUUGCUUGGUGAUUUGGUUUAGUCCAUGCCAAUUAGAUCAGUCAUGUGAUGAUUGAUUAGUUGAGAUCUGAAUCAAAUCUCUUCGUAAAUAUUAAGCCUAUCAAUCUUCCAUCUUUGUAGAUGUGCAGGCGUGCUACCGACGUUGAUUAUUCUCGACUGAUCACAGUAGUUCAAUUGCAUCAGGAAUACGCAACCACUCUAUUAGCAAAGAGUUGCUCCAGGAUAAGGAUGGGGUUGGACCCAAUAUCUGUCAGAUGAGGGACUCAGUAAUGGCUUUGUACCUACUUGUAAAUGGUGGGUCGGGCUUAACUAAAGAGUGUAGUCAAUAUCUGUCAAGUGAGCCCACAUGACUUAGAGAUCACAUCGCCGCAACAUGCUUAGAGAAGCAUCUGGGCAAAAAAUUGUCCAUACAUCAAUGUGCGUGUUACCAAUAUCUAUCAGGUGAAGUGCACGGCAUCGGUGGGACCACAGCACCUAUUAGAAAUCCAGUUAUUGUAUUAGGGUUUUUGUUUCUCCACCUGGAGAGUGAGAGAUUUGAUAAAAUAGUAAGAACCUAUUUGUUUCUUAAAAUCUUUAGAAUAAAUUAUAAAAUAAAUACAUAUAUCUAAUUAGAAUAUUUACUCUCUGCGGUUUACUGUGUCCGCUUCCAACACUCUAGCUCAAAUCCUAGAUAUCAACCGUUUAACCGAAACUAAUUACAUACACUGGCUCAGAAACUAUAAGAAUCAUUCUUAAUUUUAGAAAAUUAAGCCAUGUUCUCAAUCCGAUUAUCCCUAUGUUAUUAACCUGUCCAAUCCAUAGUCAACGAGCUAUACUUGAUAAGUGGAUGGACAAUGACAAUAAAGUUAGGUGCUAUAAAUUGGAAUCCAUGCAUGAUGAACUUCAACUCGUGCAUAAAGACAUGUACACUGCGAACGACAUGCUGAUUCAUCUACAAAAAUUGUGAGAUAAUCAGAGUCGCAUAGCGCAUGAGAUACGCAAUUGGCAGUCAGUCCAUGAUCACUGUUUAAUAAUGAUCAAGGACAUUAAAGAACUUGAGAAGCUCGACAUGACCAUGCACAAGAAAUUGCUAGUGAAUUUGAUCAUGCAAUCCCUUCCUAUUUUGUAUGGACAGUUUAUGAUAAACUACCAUAUGAAUAACCCUGAUAGCACCUUAUCUGGAUUGGUCAAAAUAUUGGUAACUAAGGAACCUUGAAAAGUUCAGAAGUACAUAUCUGAAGAGCCUAAAAAAAAGAACACACUUUGGGAAGACAUGUCAAAAUUGCUCAAAAACUAAUCUUACGAUUUUUUCCUCCCUAUUGAGUAUUAGACUCUAGUGCUUGUUUAUGCACUUUAGUACGUCUAAGGGAACACAGAGGACCGAGGGAAGGUAAAGUAACCCUUCAAAUCGGCAAUAAGACAAGAGUUGCUGCUAUGGCCGUGAGCACCUAAUCUCUACGACCACUGUUUGAAUUUAAUUUUUAGAGACAGUCUCUAUCAUUUGCAUGGUGAUGCAUCUGUGAACAUAUUUGAACAAACAGUAAGUACCAUUGGAUCUGAGAGAUCCAUAGUUGAGAUAAACCUAAAGUAUAUAUGGUACUUUAGGCUAGAUUAUAUAGGAGAAGAAAUGAUUUACAAACUGGAGAAACAUGGGCUCUUAGGCUCAUUGACUGUUGAGUCAUAUCUAGUCUGUAUAUCAUCUCUUUGAGGAUAAAUAACCAAGCUGCCCUUUGUGGGACAAGAGGAAGGGACCACUGACAUACUUGCCCUUAUACAUAUUUGAUGCGUGCGGUGUAUUUGAUGUGCCAGACAAGGGAGAUUAUCUCUACUUCAUUGCUUUUACCGAUGAUCAGUCAUAGUAUGGGUAGGUAUAUGAGAUACAAAUCUGAUAUCUUUGAAAAAUUCAAAAAAUUCAGAUGUGAAGUAGAGAAAUAAACUGACAAAAAUUGUAAAGAUACUUCGAUCAGAUCGAGGAGGCAAUGCCAAAGUAGAAAAUUUCUCGGUUGUCUCAAAAAAAAUGACAUAGUUUCAUUGUGGACCCCUCCUAGUAAACCUCAGCUCAAUGGGAUAUCUAAGAGAAGGAAUAGGGCUGUAUAAGAUAUAGUUCGAUCCAUGAUGAACUUCACUAAUUUAACAUUUAUUUCUUUAGAGACAUACUUUAAAUUUACCUGUUAAAUAAGGUAUCCUCUAAAUUCGUUCCUACUACACCAUAUGAGAUAUGGCAAGAUAAGCAACCAAGUCUUGAUCAUUUCAAGAUUUAGAGAUGUCCAGCCCGUAUCAAGCAUAGCAAGCAGGAUAAGUUAGAGGCUAAAUCUAUGAGAGCUAGUUUCAUAGGAUAUCCUAAAGAGUUUGAGAUACUAGUUUUCUUCCCAAAGAAUCACAAUCAUCAUGCUAUCUUUUUGAAAAAUAGUUUAUCCAAGAUAGAGAUGGUGAAAAGAUAAGUUCAAAAAGAGUCUCUGAAAGCAACAAGUCAUAGGACCUGUAGAAUCUAUUCAUGAUGAGCCAAUACAUGUAGUACCUCCUACACCUCGUAGAUCAAAUAGGAUCUUCCAUCCUUAUGAAAGGUAUUUGAUAUGCGAAGAUAUAGAGAAAAUAUUUUUCAUAGGAGAUAGGAAACAUAGAGAUUAUCCCAAGACGUAUGAGGCGAUGUUGGACAUCGAUUUCGAGAAAUGGAUGUGUAGAUAGCCUUCCUAAAUGGAUAUUUUGAGAAGAUAUCUAUAUAGAACGGACUAUGGAUUUCACUUUCAGUGAUAGAGAUCACAAUGCAAAGGUCCAUACAUAGACUUAAGCAAACAUCUUGGAGUUGGAAUACUCGUUUCAAUAGUGUGAUCAAAUUAUUUGAUUUCAUCGAGAAUGAGGACUCGUGUUUACAUGAAAGUUAGUGGGAGUGCUGUCUCAUUCUUCGUAUUGUACAUGAAUGACAUCCUCUUGAUUGGGAGUAUCCCAUGCUGACAUCAGUUAAAAUGUGAUUGUAUAUAAAAUUUUCUAUGAAAGACCUAGGGCAAGCAUCCCAUAAUCUGAGAAUAAAAAGAUCUAUAAAGAUAGAUCUAAAAAGAUGCUUGGAUUUUCACAGAAAAGUACAUAGAGGAGAUGCUAAAGGGUUUAGCAUAGAAACCUUCAAGAGAGAUCUGCUACUCUCUUGGGCAUAAGAGUAUACCAUGCUAUAUACUUGACUUGAUAUAGCCAUUGUUGUGAGUGUCCCGAGCAGAUAUCAGUUAAAUCCAGACUAUGAAUGUUGAAUUGCUGUGAAAACAUCCUUAAGUACUUGAAAAACACUAAGAAUUUAUUUUUGAUCUUUGGAUAAGGGUCUGAACUAAGAGGAGGAUACAUCGAUUCAGACUUUAUGUUUGAUGCUGAUGAUAGAAUGUCUACAUCAGGGUGUGUUCUUGGUUCGAUAUGUUGGAAGGGUUCCAAACAACUGAUCAAUAGAAGCUAAAUACGCUGUAGAUGUAUAGGACGCAUUCUGAUUCUUAUGAUAAUUGUGGAAUUAGAUGUCAUGCCAUCAGAUGUCAUGACACCGUACCAUAAAAACAAUGACCCAUAAUCUUCGCUAAGAAGCCAAGGUCUCACCAGAUAUCCAAGCACAUAGAGCAGUGGUAUACGCGACUACCUCAAGUAGAAAUACAUAGAGGUGCAAAGAGUAGACUCCACAUAGGAUAUGAUAGACCCACUGAUUAAGUCACUUAGUCAGCCGAAGAUCGAAACCCAUCUUGAGAAGAAGGGGCUUAGGUAUAUGACAAAUUGAUUUUAGUGCAAAUGGGAGAUUGUUAGAUAUAUGCCCUAAAAGCUAAUCUUAGCUAACGCAUAUCAUAUUUCUAGGACAUGAUUUGUACUUAACGAACAGUUUUAAUUUCAUUCAUAUUGUAUGUGUUCAUGAAUCGUCCGAGGGAUUAAUAAGAUGAUGACACAUAUUCUCAAAGAGUUGAGAAUUUGAGACAUAUGUCAUUGAUGGUUAAUUCUUAAAUUGCUCCUGAUCAAAGGAUCAUCAUGGGGACGGUGAUUAAUCCAGACAGAUUAGUGCAUUGAUCACUUCUUUCAGACAGAUGAGUCUCGAAUCUGCAGUGUAGGAACACUGGAGUAAGAGUGCAAAUGGUUGUUAGAGAAUAACUAGCACUGAGCGUGAUCAAUAUGAGAAGUCACAUGGAUGUCUACUCACUCAUUAGUGACUUUCUCGAUGUUGCAGUAGUGUGGCUGGUCCUUUGACCUACGAUGCCACGGCUGCUCACAAUGAGACUGUUGAAGUUUCACUACAUAUAAACAUGACCUCAAUGAGUCCUUGUAGUGAAUGUUGAUGACAGUUAAUCUACUAUAGGAACAGGAUGCGCAUCUAGAUGAAAUCUAUUGUCCUUAACGAAAAAUAGUCCUAUAUGAUUUAUGAGAUUGAGUUCAAAAAUCCUUGGCCAAAGUAGUGUGAUUGAUGGAAAAUAAUUUUCAUAGGUAUUCACCAGAUGUACUUGAGUCGAAAAAUCUAACAUAUGACUGAUGAUGGGAUUUGACGAGCUUUCCAUGACCUUCGUCUAGUCGGGACUCACGAUAGAGAGACUGUAACUGCACCUAAAGGUUUAUCAUUUUUAUUCUACUGGAUUGCCACUAUAUACUGCUAAGUGUCACUAGUGGGGCCCAUGAGCAUCAUCUUGAUGAUCGAUGAUCCUUGAUGGGUAAAGUUGAAAUAGUUUCAAUCCAUUGAAAAGAGUUUCGAUGAUAUUAUGAUAGGGAUCACAAUAUACCUCACUAUCAGAUAGAACAGAACCUAUGGGGUCACACACAAAAGAAACUUUUGACUGAUCAGAUGGUUGAGUUGCGAUUAUGAAUCGCAAUAUGAUUUAAUUAUCAAUUUGAUUGAUGAUUAAAUCAAUGCAAAAGUUGCAAUAUUCAAUUUACUGAGGGUUAGUAAAUUUUUAGGAGGAUUUAAUUUGCAAUUGGAUUGCAAUAAGGCUCAAUAUGAUUGAGCUAUAAGAUUCAAAUCAGAUUUAAUUGAAUUUGAUUCAAUUUAAUUUGAUUUGAAUUUGAUUGGAUCAAGUCCUAUUGGAUAACAGGCUUGAUUGGAUCAAGCUCUAUUGGUUAUGAGAUGACUUUAUAUCCAAAAAAUCAAUCCCUAGUUUAAUGGGGUUUAACCUAACUAAUUUCCUAAUUGGAUUAGGGCCUAAUUGGAUUCCUAUUUGGAUUAGGACCUAAUUAGUUAAUUGGUUAUAACUAAUUCCUAAUUUAGUUAGGAUUAGACCAAGAAUUAGUUAGGCUUGGACCAAGAACAAGAAAAGUUCUAGUUGGACUAGGACUCAUUCUUCUUGGCUGCCCCAAACUCCAUGCAAUCUACAUCUUUGCGUGUGAUAUUUCACGCCUAAAACCCAGCCCACACCGCCCCUUUAUUUCCUUUGGAUUAGCGUGAAAGAGGAAUCCUAGUUGGACAGAAUUCUCUUUCUUUCUUGCGCUAAAACUAUCCAACGCACACCCUAGCCCUAAGCGCCCAUUCUCUCCCUUUUUAACGUGUAAAAAAAUCAGAUAUAGAUCUGAUUUUUACCAUGGGGGUUUCUCAGGUCUUCUCCACACUAAAAAUAAAAAUAAAAAAAGGGCCACCCCAAAGCCCUCUUACACGCUAAAAAUUUGGAGUUUGACUCCUAUCUAAAGACCUACUCCACGCUAUUUAGGAUGGGCUCUUAGUCAUGAGUUUUAGAUGGCUUUUCAAUGUGAGAUGGCUGCUGGUUGGCUGUUGUUUUGAUGCAGAAAAUCAGAGGUCCAUGGCGUGGGAAAUAGAGAGGAAACAUUCCUCUUCUUGGUGUGAGAAAAGAUGAGGAAGAAGGUCUUCCUCAUGGGCUGAAGAAAGAAAGAAGGUCUUCUUUUUUGUGUGCAGAUUUUUGGAGAGGAAAGGUUCCUCUUGUAGGCGAAAAAGGGUAGAGAGUGACAUGCCCAGGCCUGAAUAACUAUCUUGUGUAGGUAUGGA
Molecule: long non-coding RNA, 8596 nt
Filed under: Elaeis guineensis (African oil palm)
Lineage: Eukaryota; Viridiplantae; Streptophyta; Magnoliopsida; Arecales; Arecaceae
Description: long non-coding RNA (EGUI_LNC006021)
Source: RNAcentral